GCAAACCCUUUUGUAACUGCUCUCCUUCUCCCUGCUGUUGGCCACAGAUGUUAUUACUUAUUUCGGUGGUCAAAACCUCAAUUGGUAAUGGUGGCAUUAGAAAUAGGAUGCCUAUGUGUUGGAAAUAAGAAUGGGCUACUCUUGCCUCACACAGAGUCCGCCUGAGUGUCAAUCACGCAUGUGACUUGUGAGGCCUCUCUUCUCUUUCACGUUUUUUUGUUUGUUUGUUUGUUUUGUUUUUGUUUUUUGUCCUUUUAAUUCAUUUUUUGAUUUAUCUUUUAUUUUUGAGCUAUGAAUCUAUCAUCUAUGACUUGUGUUUUA
Olea europaea var. sylvestris is the source of this 321-nucleotide long non-coding RNA. RefSeq lists it as uncharacterized. The record is from RefSeq and is a predicted model, not a curated record. NCBI's taxonomy places the organism in Eukaryota, Viridiplantae, Streptophyta, Magnoliopsida, Lamiales, Oleaceae. The transcript has 2 exons.